AAACUGAAAGUGAGAUCAUAACUCAGUAACUGUUUCACAUACGGACUCAGAACUUGGUGUAGGGACCAAAAAUGCAUUUGAGCCCUGGUGAGGGCUACAAUAAGCAGAAACAUAAUUUUCCAAUCAUUGUUUACAGUCAUGCUUUUAUUACAAUCAGAUCAAGUUGCCAUGGUACCUAUGGCCUGCCAAGCUAGUUAUAUUUAAUUAAGAGGAGUUUCUUUAUGAUUUUUGAAAAUAAUUGUUCAGAUAGAAUUAGUAAACUACACAUACUAUAUUGUGCUUAGGAACUAAAAUGUGUUUUUGUUCUUGUUGAACAGACCUUUCUCUCUACAUUCAGAAGGGGAGGAACUUGGAUUGGUUUGAAUGACAAAGAAAAAGAGGGCACCUGGACAUGGGUAGAUGGAACUCCUCUGACUCUGAGUUAUUGGGAGAACAACCAGCCUGACAACGGUGGUGGAAGUUCACUGUAUGGUGAAGAGGACUGUGCACACAUGACAACUUAUAGGCUUGCUGUUUGGAAUGACAUUUCAUGUACAGCUUCUCUGCAGUGGAUCUGUGAAAAACAACCAUAACUAUGCUCCAUUUUUUGUCUGAGGAUCAUAUAUAUCUGAAGUCAUCUGUUUAAAUACUUUUCAGUUUUAGCUAAGCUUGUCAUUUCAUCCUGUAGCUUUGGUAUUUGGCUGUAGCUGAAUGGGUGCAACCUUGAUAUGGACCUACAGGUGAUAACGCAGCUGUUUCUUCCUAUGCCAAUGUGUUCAUUUUUCUAAAAUCAAUGUAUUAAGAUAAUAAAUCACAAUAAAAAAAAAAUCUAGAUGCCAUUCCUGAA
Molecule: long non-coding RNA, 826 nt
Organism: Stegastes partitus (bicolor damselfish)
Lineage: Eukaryota; Metazoa; Chordata; Actinopteri; Pomacentridae
Exons: 2
Source: RefSeq, a predicted model, not a curated record